Molecule: transfer RNA, 75 nt
Filed under: Candidatus Nitrososphaera evergladensis SR1
Lineage: Archaea; Thermoproteati; Nitrososphaerota; Nitrososphaeria; Nitrososphaerales; Nitrososphaeraceae
Description: tRNA-Pro (GGG) (tRNA-Pro-GGG-1-1)
Rfam family: tRNA
About the family: Transfer RNA (tRNA) molecules are approximately 80 nucleotides in length. Their secondary structure includes four short double-helical elements and three loops (D, anti-codon, and T loops).
Source: RNAcentral
GGGGCCAUCGUCUAGCUUGGUCAGGAUGUCAGCCUGGGGCGCUGGAGGUCGUGGGUUCAAAUCCCACUGGCCCCA